RNAcentral lists this RNase P RNA (401 nucleotides) under Candidatus Peribacteria bacterium. Its description in RNAcentral is "RNase P RNA component class A". It matches the Rfam family "Bacterial RNase P class A". From Rfam's summary of the family: Ribonuclease P (RNase P) is a ubiquitous endoribonuclease, found in archaea, bacteria and eukarya as well as chloroplasts and mitochondria. Its best characterised activity is the generation of mature 5'-ends of tRNAs by cleaving the 5'-leader elements of precursor-tRNAs. Lineage: Bacteria; Candidatus Peregrinibacteriota; Candidatus Peribacteria. The record is from RNAcentral.
UUCCCGCUCUUUGACGAUCGCCCCGCUUCGCGGGGAGGAACGUCCGGACAGCACCGGAACGCCCAGUGGGUAACGCCCACCCGUGCAGUGCAUAUCCGGUAAGACUGCAUGCGGAACAGUGCCACAGUGACGAUGCUUCGUACUCCUCAGGGAAUGCGAAGAGUGAAACGUCCCCGCUUCGCGGGGUUGGCCCCCGGCAACCGGGGGUAUCACGGUAAACUCUGGGUGCUGCAAGGAGGAAUUGGGUUGUCGGAGUUCAUGACGGUUCCAUCGUGCCGAUGACCCCUCCGCUACUCCCCGCGAAGCUCGCAAGAGCGAAGUGGGGUAGAGUCACCGAGCAAUCGGUGACCAAGAUAGAUGAUCGUCCUCGACAAAAUCCGGCGUAUGGGAGCGGGAAACGA